RNAcentral lists this ribosomal RNA (689 nucleotides) under Microbacterium esteraromaticum. Its description in RNAcentral is "bacterial SSU rRNA". It matches the Rfam family "Bacterial small subunit ribosomal RNA", at positions 173 to 856 of the family's 1533-position model. Lineage: Bacteria; Bacillati; Actinomycetota; Actinomycetes; Micrococcales; Microbacteriaceae. The record is from RNAcentral.
AUAUCUUUUUACGGCGUCUGGGCGGGAAUGUCCCGUUAGGCAUGGGGGAGAAGGGGGAAGAUUUUUCGGGGGGGGAUGGGCUCGCGGCCUAUCAACUUGGUGGUGAGGUAAUGGCUCACCGGAGCGUCGACGGGUAGCCGGCCUGAGAGGGUGACUGGCCAUCUGUUAAAUUGUGUCGGGGGUCUCUCCUACCGGUGGCAGCAGUGGGGUGUAGUGGGCAAUGGGCGGAAGCCUGAUGCCGCAACCCCCCGUGAGGGAUGACGGCCUUCUGGUUGUAAACCUCUUUUAAUCGGAAUCCCGACAGUGUCGGAUCCUGCUUUUCAAGCACCGGCUAACUACGUGCCAGCCGCCGCGGUAAUACGUAGGGUGCAAGCGUUAUCCGGAAUUAUUGGGCGUAAAGAGCUCGUAGGCGGUCUGUCUCGUCUGCUGUGAAAUCCCGAGGCUCAACCUCGGGCUUGCAGUGGGUACGGGCUGACUAGAGUGCGGUAGGGGAGAUUGGAAUUCCUGGUGUAGCGGUGGUUUGCGCAGUUAUCAGGUGGUUCUCCGAUGGCUAUGGCAGAUCUCUGGGCCGUAACUGACGCUUAGGAGCGUUAGGGUGGGGAACAAUCAGGCUUAGAUGCCCUGGUAGUCUACCCCGUUUCGUUGGGUCUAGUUGAGGGGUCCUUUCACGGUUUCCGUGACGAACUAAC